CUAGGGAUUUCUGGAAUUUACUCUGGGACCAAGCUGACAAUUUUGGAAAAGCAUUACCUUUUUAGAGAUCAUAACCUUUUGGGAAAACCAGAAUUUCCAAAACCUUUUGGAGAAAAAUGGCAUUCACAACCAUUUGUGAGCCAAAAACUCAUUUGAGUAAAGUCUUCUCUUCAGUGGUAUAUAUCCACAUGUAUUUAUGCAAGGCAAUUUGGUUUUUCAGUUGUUAGACUGAUAACCUAGUUGUCUCUGAUCUGUUCGGAACUGAGAUUAUGCCAAUGCAUAAAAUAUAGCAUUUCUUCAUAAGUGUUUAUUUUCAGUGCCCAAAAACAUCUACUCUCCCAUAAAAUAUCUUGUUUCUAUAUCAGCUCUCUAGAGACAAAAAUAAAGUAGACUUUGUUAAAAGUAACAUAUUUGGUUUACUCACAACUUUCAUGUAUUCAGCAUACAGGUACAUAACUUGUCAAUCCAGUUACAGAUAAGUUUGAAGUAAUUUCUCUGUGCAGAUAACACAGGGCAUCUUUCUUAUAAUCAAGAGCAACAUGAGUUUGCGCUUAACAGUCCAAAGUCUCAUUGUGUCUCACUGUGUUUGUGCUCUAAUGGAGUCUGAGGCAUCUCAUGGCUAAAGCAUUUCUGUGUUCAAAAAUGGAGUCUCAGCCCAGAAUAGUCCCAGAUCUGAUCAUGUGGUCUGCAGCCCCUCCCACAAUCUCAAAAAACAUAGAAUAAGGGGAAAGCUGCAUACCAAAACAUACGUAUACAAUACAGUAAGCAAACAGAAUCAUAUACAAAACAAAUUACUAGUGGAGGCUUGAAAAAGGUUGCUAUUGCCAACAGACAAUUUCUACAUUCUUAAAUUGGAUGAAUUUCUUUGUUAAAAGAUGCUUAAGAGAUUCAGAAAAUGAUGUAAUUAAUUACUAUUAGAAAUCCUACUGGAUGAUGACACUAAAAAUAUUCUUUUAUCCCCUUUCCAGGAACUGCAGCAAAUUCUUCUUUCCAGGAACUGCAUUUCAUUGUCUAAUUUUUAGAUGUUUCCCUGAAACAGGAUUUAAGAUGGACAAAAACUUCACUCCUCUACACAAUCCACGCACAAUCCAUGAUCCCUCAUCCAGCAUGGUCUGUGAGUAUUUAUUUGUAGUCCAAAAUGUAACUUUCCCAAGCUCUGGAAUUAUUGUUUUUUACAGAAUUUGUUGCUAUCAGGGGUGGUGAUUAUCAAUCGAUUUUUAAAAUGAUGUUAAAAGUAUGUAACAUUUAUGGAUGCUGGAUUUAUUAGCAACAUUAACCAAAUAAAACCCCAAACAAGUGUAACUAUGUGGUAACAACUCCCCCAUGCUAAUAAUCACCAUAUCCUUGAAUAUGCCGAAUAAAAUGAACUAAUGUAUUGUGCAGCUAUUGCUGAGUUUGUGUAUGGCAUCACUCUGUGUUUAUUCUAAUAAUUUUGCAUUCUGGUGUAUUUGACAGACCUCAGGACUAUUACUUUUUCCUGCCCUGCAUUUGAUUUAGUAUUAUAUAGGUGGCGCAAUGGGUUAAACCCUUGUGCUGGCAGAACUGCUGACUAAAAGGUUGGCAGUUCGAAUCCGGGGGGGGUGAGCUCCCUUCUGUCAGCUCUAGCUCCCCAUGCAGGGACAUGAGAGAAGCAUCCCACAGGUUGGUAAAACAUCAAACAUCCGGGCAUCCCCUGGGCAACGUCCUUGCGGACAGCCAAUUCUCUCACACCAGAAACGACUUGCAGUUUCUCAAGUAGCUCCUGACACAGAAAAAAAAGUAUUAAAUAAGAGUCCUUUGAGUUAGAUAGCAUGAUAAAAACAACUCAGAAGUAAGGCACAUGAUUACACCAUAAAGGGGUACUAGAUGCUCCACCAAAGUUUUAAACUCUUCAGCUAGCUAAGACUCUCGUAAGGAACCAGAUGUUCAGGUUGUUUCAACACUAAGUACGCACAGUAUCAUUAAAACUGUUAUUUUUUUCUCAAAAGUGUUCUUUUUGGCUCUCUGUGAACUCUUAGGAUCUUAGUUGUUUAGGAAACAUAACAGAGAGGUUGCUUGGGUAACCAGAAGCUGACCACCUACAGUUAGCUCAUCUGUCAAUGAAAUCCAAAGUUGCAUGACAUGAAACAGGAGUCUACAUGGACAUUACCAUGGAUCCACUGUUGUGUACCACGUACACAAAAUAGAUGAUAUGGAAUACUCAAAACAGGGUCUAUGGUGGGAGCAAAUU
Molecule: long non-coding RNA, 2209 nt
Filed under: Anolis carolinensis (green anole)
Lineage: Eukaryota; Metazoa; Chordata; Lepidosauria; Squamata; Anolidae
Description: lncRNA (ENSACAG00000043556.1)
Source: RNAcentral